UUCCAUCUCUUUCUCAUAUACAUAAACUACCAUUCAACACUUUGAACCUUCAUUAUCUCCCUCAAACCGAAGCCUACACCACCAUGGUCAGCUUCAUCAUCUCCCUUUGACGGGCCUUCUGUUGAUCUUGGUGACAAGCAUUUGCAGGGAACACUGCGGUGUUUUACAUGUCUUUUUAUUGGUGAUUGGUUCACGAACAUGUGCCUGUUAGAUCAUCAUCUUUGAUCCCAAAAUUUCUAAUGCAAGCCUUGUUGACCAAGCGAAACUGCCCUUAGUUGCAGCUAUUUCAAUGGAUUGCAGUCUUGAAUAGCAACUGACAAAAGAGAAAGUGAAUCCAUGAAACAACCAAUCUACUCACGUAGCAAGCGAAUCCCAGAAGUGCCAAUUCCUG
Molecule: long non-coding RNA, 391 nt
Filed under: Gossypium barbadense (sea-island cotton)
Lineage: Eukaryota; Viridiplantae; Streptophyta; Magnoliopsida; Malvales; Malvaceae
Description: long non-coding RNA (GBAR_LNC003544)
Source: RNAcentral